GAACCGGUUAGCUCAGUGGUUUGAGCGCGGUGCUGACAACAAUGACGACACCGAGGUCGCGAGUUCAAUUCCCGCUCGGUCCC
Non-coding RNA from Apaloderma vittatum (bar-tailed trogon), 83 nucleotides. The record is from Rfam. Lineage: Eukaryota; Metazoa; Chordata; Aves; Trogoniformes; Trogonidae.